RNAcentral lists this long non-coding RNA (1791 nucleotides) under Homo sapiens (human). RNAcentral describes it as "HSALNT0188949". The record is from RNAcentral. Lineage: Eukaryota; Metazoa; Chordata; Mammalia; Primates; Hominidae.
GCAUGCCUGUGGUCCCAGCUACUUAGGAGCCUGAGGCAGGAUGAUCACUUGGGCCUGGGAGAUUGAAGCUGCAGUGAGCCAUGAUCACACCACCUCAUUACAGCCUGGGCCACAGAGGGAGACCGUGUCUCAAAAAACAACAAAACAAAAAACGGUAAAUUCUGAAUGGUAAUUUUCCUAGUUCACAUAUAUGUUACCAUGUAGUUCUCUGCAGGUUCCCAAGAUGGUUUCCUUUAGAAACAAAAUAAUACCUUGCACAUUGCUGGUUCAUUAUUUACUUUGCCCUUUGUUCAGGUGACCUCUGCUCCGUUUCUCUGGCACUGGGAUUAACCAGUGGCUCCACAGUUCAACAGGGAAUUCUUUUUAUUUUUUAAUGUAGCCUAAUGCUUCUGGUUUUAAAUAUUGAGAGAGUUAAAGUGAUACUGAACAGUUUGCCUUUUUGCUUUUGUUGGUACUGGUUUGCUAUGAUUCAUCAGACUUUUAAUUACUUUAACAGAUAAACAAGAAUUUCAGUUAUGUUAAGUUCUGUGUUUUCUAAACCAAGACGAAAGGGGAAGGCUUAUGGUACGAUCAAGAGUACAAAAGGAACUAUUAGGCAAUGUCUGCUUUACUUUCUAUUCAAGUUUGAACUAUGUAGGAAUUCAGAUGAAACAAUUUGAAUAUUAGAACACUUGGGAAUAAAAAAUGUUUCAGAAUAUAAGACAUUUUAAUGUACCUUUGUGUGUGUGUGUGUGUGUCAGCCAUUAAAAUAAGCAUUUGGCUCAUUGUCCCAGGGUCUUAACAAGAUUUAGGAAGAAACUGAUGGAAAUAGUAACCAUCCUAGAAUCUGCCCUUGAGGCUCUGGUGCCCAGCCCUGUCUGGUUUCUUUCAUUUCCUUGAAUAUAGUGUGUUUCCUCCUUUCACUUGGCUGUGGCACGAGCUAUUCUAGUUGACUGAAAUAUUCUUUUUUCAUUCUUUGGAAUUCAGCUCAGAUGUUACUUCCUCAAGAAAGCCUCAGAGCUUCUCCUCUUGGAUAGGUCAGAUUACAUUCGCUGGGCACCCUGAGCUUCUUCCUCAUCUAUAGAAAACAUUUAUCAUCAUUGUAUGCUCCACGCAGGCAGGGAUAUGUCUAGUUAUUCAGGGCUCUAAGCCAGGCACUAAGAGCAGAGCACACAGUAGACACUCAAUAAAUAUCUGUUGAAUGAAGUCAACCUAUAUUAAGUGCCAAGUGCAUUGCUUCAUUUACUCCUCAGCAUAACCUUUUAGGUAGAUACCCCCAUUUACAGAUGAAAAAACAGAUAACUUGCUCAAGGUCACAGACUCAACCAAUGACACAACCAGGACUUGACCAUGUCACUUUGAUGCCAAAGCCAGUGUUUCAAUUUGUCUUUUACUUUCUUUGUUGCAAGCAGUUAUCCCACUGAAAAUCCAGUGUUCUAAGCUUUGUACUUUGGUAUUAUCUUUCAGUGUAAUGACAUUUCAUCAUUUCAACCUGUGGCUUUUCCUAUUUCUCAAUCACUAGACUGACCAAUAGUGAGAUGGUUGGAUUAAGGAGGUUCCAAUUCUGGGGAGAUGACAGAGGAAGGAGAUUCAUGUUCCAGAGCUUAGGAAGCAGUAGGUGUGCAUUCGACCUCACUGCAUCAAUAACUUUUCACGUUCAAGAGAUAGUUAAAAUAGUAAAAGCUUCCUUUCUUUCUGCUCUGUGGAUUUCACAAAUGGGAUCGUUAGACUUGAACUUUUUUGCUUUUUUAAAGUAGCCAAACAUGAUCACAUGAUGGACUUGAACUUUUCAAAACCCAUUCUGAUACUUCU